This 31-nucleotide non-coding RNA is filed under the name Homo sapiens (human). Lineage: Eukaryota; Metazoa; Chordata; Mammalia; Primates; Hominidae. The record is from RNAcentral.
UUUGGUGAAAUAGGAAGCUCCAUGGCAUGUC